CCAGGUCAGGUUGCUGAAGUCCAGCCAGAAUGUCUUCUCCAUGGAGCUAGCACUGUGGAGACCCUGACGACCCAGAGGAAUCCAAUGCUCAGUCCUGGCAGAGCCACCAAGAGCUUGGAAGCAUUGGAGGCUGGUGACCUGCAGGGAUCGUAAAGCACUCACUCAAUGUACAAGUAGGAUGUGUCUUAAUUGAAUAACAAUGGGCCAAUAGAAGGUUUUGUUCCCCCGCCUCCGAAAGAGAGAGUGAAGUGGAUAUUUGGGAACACUUUCAUAAAGUGGCUGCUGAGAAACUGUGAGCGUCUACACCGGCGGCUGACCUUGUUCUCCCACAGGUGACCAAAGACGCAAAGUGGUGUUUGGAGACACAACAUUUUCUUUUCUUCUGAGGUUCGAAAUGCGACUCGUGGCCUUGGAGGUAGGUCACCCCAAGACUCUCACAGUAUCUGAGGCACGCAUGGCCCCUGGCUGGUGCAGGAGGCCUCAGGCCAAUUCCUGGCUGACAGCCAGACCACAA
Molecule: long non-coding RNA, 514 nt
Organism: Tupaia belangeri chinensis (Chinese tree shrew)
Lineage: Eukaryota; Metazoa; Chordata; Mammalia; Scandentia; Tupaiidae
Exons: 3
Source: RefSeq, a predicted model, not a curated record